GGCCUCGGGGCGGCGGCCGCGGUGCUGGGGGCCGGGCCGGCCGAGAGGGGCUCUUGCCCUGUUCCAACCCCCGCGCUGCCCGCGGCCCGGCCCCCCCUCCGCUGCUCCCCCCGCCAUUCUCCUGACCUCUUGGGUCACCCUUUCCCCUCGACCAGCCACGCUUUCUCCUUCUCCCCACCCUUCUCUGAUUUCGGUGACUUUCCGCCCCGAGCUGCGUGCUGUCCGCGGCUCGCUGAUUCCAUCCCCCCGGCUGUGGGCCCAUUUUACAGCAGGCCAAGUGCUCCGAGGGACGCAAAGAUGAAUAAGCCGUGACCCUUCGCUCCCCGGGCUCCUGCCACGUGGAUGAAGAGGCAGGACAGAUACAGGAAAAGGUGACUGAUGAGGCGGCGCCGCUUGUUGCGGAUGAGUGAUAGGGGCCUGCGCCGCGGGAGUGCGGGCAGGAAGACGGAGGACUGCGGGGGCGGCGGCAGCUCCUCCAGCAGAGAGGGGAGCUGUGAUGGAUGCUUUCUGUCCCGUGAUACAAAACCCCAGCUCUGAGAGGUCAGGGGAUCGCCAAGAGUGACCAAGCUGCCACACCACAGGGAUUGAUUGGGACAGGGCCCAGGCCUGGUCGUCCAGCGAAGCCGCAUCCUCCUGGCUGCAUGACCUCACCAUAGUGCCUCCCAGCUGCUGGAAAUCUGGAUUUGAGCUUGAGGGGAUCAGACGCUGGGGUCACCCCGCACCACCAUAUGGAGACUGAGCGUGAGGACAGUACAGCAGAAGCAAAGCCGAGAGAUGGAGAGAAAUCAGGUGCUGACAUUACCUUUGAGCCCCUGGAGCCGGCUGUGCCUGGAAACGGAUCUGCCCCUGGACUUCUCAGUGAUAGGAGCCAAUGAAGUUCCCUUUUCGCUGAAACCA
Long non-coding RNA from Nyctereutes procyonoides (raccoon dog), 897 nucleotides. RefSeq lists it as uncharacterized. The transcript is spliced from 3 exons. The record is from RefSeq and is a predicted model, not a curated record. Lineage: Eukaryota; Metazoa; Chordata; Mammalia; Carnivora; Canidae.